This 422-nucleotide ribosomal RNA is filed under the name uncultured archaeon. RNAcentral's name for it is "partial 16S ribosomal RNA". It matches the Rfam family "Archaeal small subunit ribosomal RNA", at positions 323 to 746 of the family's 1478-position model. The record is from RNAcentral.
CUACGGGAGGCACCAGGCGCGAAACCUUUACAAUGCACGAAAGUGUGAUAAGGGGAUCCCAAGUGCCUUGCUUUUAGCAAGGCUUUUGUUAUGUGUAAAUAGCAUGACGAAUAAGUGGUGGGCAAUACCUGUGCCAGCCGCCGCGGUAACCCAGGAGCCACAAGUGGCAACCACUUUUAUUGGGCCUAAAGCGUCCGUAGCCGGCCUGGUAAAUUUCCUGUGAAAUCGUUGGGCUUAACCUAACGUCGUGCAGGAAACACUACUGGGCUAGGGACCGGGAGGCGUCAGAGGUAUUCCUGAGGGAGCGGUAAAAUGCUAUAAUCUCAGGAGGACCCCCUGUGGCGACGGCGUCUGACGAGAACAGAUCCGACGGUGAGGGACGAAAGCUAAGGGAGCAAACCGGAUUAGAUACCCCCGUAGUC